RNAcentral lists this ribosomal RNA (485 nucleotides) under uncultured bacterium. RNAcentral's name for it is "partial 16S ribosomal RNA". It matches the Rfam family "Bacterial small subunit ribosomal RNA", at positions 28 to 523 of the family's 1533-position model. The record is from RNAcentral.
GAUGAACGCUGGCGGCGUGCCUAAUACAUGCAAGUCGAGCGAAUGGAUUGAGAGCUUGCUCUGGUGAAUUAGUGGCGAACGGGUGAGUAACACGUGAGUAACCUGCCCUUGACUCUGGGAUAACUGCGGGAAACUGUAGCUAAUACCGGAUACGACCCUCGGCGGCAUCGCCAGGGGGUGGGAAGAAUUUCGGUCAAGGAUGGACUCGCGGCCUAUCAGCUAGUUGGUGAGGUAACGGCUCACCAAGGCGACGACGGGUAGCCGGCCUGAGAGGGUGACCGGCCACACUGGGACUGAGACACGGCCCAGACUCCUACGGGAGGCAGCAGUGGGGAAUAUUGCACAAUGGGCGCAAGCCUGAUGCAGCAACGCCGCGUGAGGGAUGACGGCCUUCGGGUUGUAAACCUCUUUUAGUAGGGAGGAAGCGAAAGUGACGGUACCUGCAGAAAAAGCACCGGCUAACUACGUGCCAGCCGCCGCAGUAA